RNAcentral lists this ribosomal RNA (466 nucleotides) under Vreelandella stevensii. RNAcentral's name for it is "partial 16S ribosomal RNA". It matches the Rfam family "Bacterial small subunit ribosomal RNA", at positions 338 to 795 of the family's 1533-position model. The record is from RNAcentral. Lineage: Bacteria; Pseudomonadati; Pseudomonadota; Gammaproteobacteria; Oceanospirillales; Halomonadaceae.
CCUACGGGGGGCAGCAGUGGGGAAUAUUGGACAAUGGGCGAAAGCCUGAUCCAGCCAUGCCGCGUGUGUGAAGAGGGCCUUCGGGUUGUAAAGCACUUUCAGUGGGGAAGAAAGCCUUGGGGCUAAUACCCUCGAGGAAGGACAUCACCCACAGAAGAAGCACCGGCUAACUCCGUGCCAGCAGCCGCGGUAAUACGGAGGGUGCGAGCGUUAAUCGGAAUUACUGGGCGUAAAGCGCGCGUAGGCGGUCUGAUAAGCCGGUUGUGAAAGCCCCGGGCUCAACCUGGGAACGGCAUCCGGAACUGUCAGGCUAGAGUGCAGGAGAGGAAGGUAGAAUUCCCGGUGUAGCGGUGAAAUGCGUAGAGAUCGGGAGGAAUACCAGUGGCGAAGGCGGCCUUCUGGACUGACACUGACGCUGAGGUGCGAAAGCGUGGGUAGCAAACAGGAUUAGAUACCCUGGGUAGUC